Long non-coding RNA from Mytilus trossulus (common blue mussel), 1504 nucleotides. RefSeq lists it as uncharacterized. NCBI's taxonomy places the organism in Eukaryota, Metazoa, Mollusca, Bivalvia, Mytilida, Mytilidae. The record is from RefSeq and is a predicted model, not a curated record. The transcript has 3 exons.
AAAAUCAUCUUAGUAUCAUUUACAAUCACAAACAAUAUCGUUUUAAUACAAUAAUCCUGGAAUAAUCAAUCUACGGCCACUAUAGUAUUCAUACACUGUUUUACGCUAGUGGUACAUAAAGUUCACUGAGGUUACACACAGGUCACCUCAUUUGCAUAAUCAAUACACUAAAAUCAUUGUGCCGGAAAUGGCGACUGAAGUGAAAGUGAAAGUUUAAGUACAAAAGUUAUCUCGUUUAUACAACAAUAAAAAUGGUUUUACACUUGGAAAACGGAUUACAUAGAACACUGAAAACAUAAUGAAUUGAAUUAAAAAGUGGUCUUCGUAUGCUGGGCUUCGCUUUUCUGUACAACGAUACAGUUCUCCUGGGGAAGGAAUUCUACAUCAGCGGGAAACAGGGACGUCUAUAGGUAUUGACUGGAAAAAUAGGUCAGCAUGAGGUUUAUGUUGAGAUACUGUCCAACUAACUCCAAGUAAUUGAAGUAUCAAAUCAAGUUAUCAUCAGAAAGAGCCAGCAACACAAAAUCUAGUAGUAAAUGGAAGAUACAGCGGACAAUGUCGGAGGUGAAUAGUCGUAAAUAGGAUAUUAAAUGUGGAAAUAUGAUGUCAUGUUAAACAUGUUAAAGCUGCCAGCAGAACUAAAAGGCUAAUCUGCAAUGGAGGAGGUUCAGGCUCAGGCCUUGCCCUAGUUACUGAUUCACUAAAUGCUGGAAUCUUAGCAACAGACAUGGUAUCUUUAUGCUGAUCUAGUGAAGAUAACCAUCGAACACUCAAGUUUGUGGAAGUUUCAUACUUAGAGUUAUCUUUGACAUUCACCAAAUGUAUAACUUCAAAUUCCAUUAAACGUGCAGUACCAAUAAGCGUGUUUCGAUGUAUGGUGACCUCCUUCAUAAAAGGGUUUACCAGUGUAAUUUUACUCAUCACACUACCAGCAAGAUCAACUAAACAGGUAUGGGUUCGUAUCACUGGAUACUCGUGUAACUGUUGAGUAUCCCACCGCUGCCACCAAUGUAAUAACUGGCCAAACGGGUGUCUUUUACUUUGCUGCCACCACCUGUGUUUCAGGUACACAGGAAACCUCAAUAGACUAGAAUAACUAGUCUAAAACAGAGAAUGGUUUAAACACGGAUGUGUACUAGACCAACAGGGUUAAAACACUUCUGACACAUUAACUUUACUUUAUAUUUAACAAGAAACUCAAAUAGCGAGAACAAAAGGGGUAACGAAUAUUCAAAUACGUAAUAGUCUGUGUAUCUAAACGCACUUUCUAUCGUGUAGUUUAUAGAACAGCAUUACACUGUAAAAUAGAGGCAGCACCUCUAUAACCUGGAAUCUCAUAUAAACUAACACUCAAGAAGUGGAAACUUCCAGGACAGUACCAUCAGACUAUUCCACAAAUGAAUAUUAUCUAUCUGACAAUCGAAUAGUCUCUUGUCUCAGUCUAACAAGAAGAUCUAUUCUCUCAUGAGACAGUCUAAGGACAACAACCAGAGACCAGUUGGAC